This 254-nucleotide ribosomal RNA is filed under the name uncultured bacterium. RNAcentral describes it as "partial 16S ribosomal RNA". It matches the Rfam family "Bacterial small subunit ribosomal RNA", at positions 526 to 779 of the family's 1533-position model. The record is from RNAcentral.
CAGAGGGUGCGAGCGUUAAUCGGAUUUACUGGGCGUAAAGCGUGCGUAGGCGGCUUCUUAAGUCGGAUGUGAAAUCCCUGAGCUUAACUUAGGAAUUGCAUUCGAUACUGGGAAGCUAGAGUAUGGGAGAGGAUGGUAGAAUUCCAGGUGUAGCGGUGAAAUGCGUAGAGAUCUGGAGGAAUACCGAUGGCGAAGGCAGCCAUCUGGCCUAAUACUAACGCUGAGGUACGAAAGCAUGGGGAGCAAACAGGAUU